Molecule: long non-coding RNA, 2055 nt
Organism: Equus quagga
Lineage: Eukaryota; Metazoa; Chordata; Mammalia; Perissodactyla; Equidae
Exons: 3
Source: RefSeq, a predicted model, not a curated record
UGUAGCGGUGUGUCUGUGGGACGUGGGAUUGACAAGGGUUUCUGGGACAGAGAAACUUUAAGUGAAAUCUGGUAAGGAAGGGGUGAAAAAAAGGAAAGAUUUCUACUCCAUCAAGGGAGGGGACAUUCUUUCAUGAAAGAAAAGCCAGCACUGCAGAGUCAGAGAACCAGGUUCAAAUCUCAGCUCUGUCACUUAAUGGUGCAACAUCAGACAAGGGUUUUAACUUGUCAUUCCAAGGCUCUAUUCCCUCAUUUGUAAAACGGGUAUACAAAUAGUACACCUACAGAGUGGUACUGAGGUUUAAAUGAGGUAAUUCUAUGUUUACUGCCUAGUGCAGGGUCUGACACAUAGCAAGGAGUUACUGAAUAAAUUAUAGCUGUUGUCAGUCUCAGGGUGCAGGGGAUCUCAUUGUCUAAGGAAUCUGAAAGUCAUAUCGGAUAUCAUUAACAUGGUUUACGGACAGCCUUUCCACAAUCUCACAGACUCACUUUGUUGUCUUGGUCUGUCAUGACAGGUGGUGGUGUUUGCUUCCCUUCCCUUCUCCUCUCUGCCUUACAAUUCUGAACACCAUGUUUCCCUGUCACUGUAAUUGUUCUGAUUUAAUCAUUAACCAACUCUAUGCUUUUAAUGUCUUUCUUCUAUAAAUAAGCUCAUGGCAAUUAAUGGCGACUCAUUGAAAAUAGGACGUAUAAAUUUGUCAGAGCCAGACAUUAUAUAAAUGUAAUAAGAGGACUCUGGUUUUGCAUAGUGAAGGACCCAUUAACCAAAUAGUAUUCUUAGAAGCAGGAACCAAAGUCUAUAUUGCAAACCCACGUAUUAAUGCCACUAUUGUUCCUUAAUAGGCCCUAAAAGAUGUUUUGAUUGCUAUAAAACUCUCAGUGUUAUUGUGCAACUAACAAAUCUCUUUUCACCAGCAGUGCCAUUAAUGUAUCUUUGAGUGGUGUCUUAGUGCUCUUAGCCAGAUGGACUGAGAAUGACAGUACUGCUCAGGACCCAGCAAGCUCCAGCUUCAACCACCAGCAUCCGCUGUGAGUUGCAUCCACAUAUCCCCUCAUUUGUAGUCUCCAUCCUGGAAACUGGCAUGGCCUUAGGGAAUCUCAACUUGGCAACUGUGGAUUUCCGGACACCAGAAGUGGAGCAUCCUAGAGGAGUCACAAGUCCCUUGAUCUAGCUCACAACGGACAUCUGUGACAGAGACAUGGCAACUCUUCAGCUCUGGUGGAAGUGACUGCUGACAGACAAUCCUACAUCAAACUUGGCACACGCAGAAGACUGGCCAAUGCGGCUGCUGCAUAGCUGGGCAGACAAGUGGACUCUCCAGAAUCUACCUCCUAGCAUAAUUGGAAGGAUAUGAAAUGGACAGGCAGAAGUCCUUACACGAAUCAUAGAAAUGGUCAACAUGCAUCUAAUUUUACCCAUUGAGCAAAGAGAGCUAAAGGGGGUAAGUUCUUUUGAGAAGAACCUAAAUGUGUUUAAAGGGAAGAAUACUACAUUAGACUUUUGGGGUUUUUUCCCUGAAUGGAAUAAAAGGAUAUAUGGAACUGAGGGGAGUGGGAGGGCAAGUGUCCAUUCAGCAAACACCCAUCACUUGUGAACAGUUCUAUCAGGGUGGUGUCGGUGUGGACCACUGGUUUAUCUUUGGCAGUGAUCUGAUGUUUUAGGCAUCUAGAGUGAGAUUACAUAGCUGGCUAGUGGCUGGGAAUAGUGAGCGAAUAUAGGUUUUACUUUCACUUCACAGCAAAUGGCGAGGAUCACAGAUGUAGCACCUUAGUUUGUACUGCCUCUGUACCUGAACCACCUACGGCUGUGAAGCCCCAGCUUUCGGAGGGCAAGCUGGAUUCUUAGAUAGCUCCUCUGUGAUUGCUCUAGGACUGCAGUUGCUCCAAUCUAAGGGUGGUUUUCUUAUUAGAGAAAGUAAGUACUCGAUGCUAAAUAUGAGACUGAAGCUUUGAAGACAUUUUAUAGUGGUGACAGGUGUUUUGGUUGAGGAAUAGGUUCUUUAACAAGUCAAAUGCUUAUUAUCCCCCUCUUAAGCAUUAACUUUUUUUUUAAGCA